This 593-nucleotide unclassified non-coding RNA is filed under the name Carex gentilis. Its description in RNAcentral is "external transcribed spacer 1". Lineage: Eukaryota; Viridiplantae; Streptophyta; Magnoliopsida; Poales; Cyperaceae. The record is from RNAcentral.
CAUGUCGGGCUCCCUGCACUUUUGGUGCGGCCAACCGAACAUAGGGCUGUCUCUUCAGUAUCCCUCCCGUCAUUGAACAUGUCGKGGUUGGGAUUCGAAUCGGUUGCCUGUGUGGUUCUACCCACUUGUGGGUAGCGAAGUCGUCCCUCGAUGUAUAUGUGCUUGCCGUUCUGACAUUUUUGUGUCAUUUGGGUAGCCGAAAUGUUGGCGAAAUCCUUGUGAUGGCGUGCGGUCGAAUGCCGUGCUGCUAUCUCUUGGAUUUUUGUCGGCUCUCACGGAUGCAGUGCCUAUUGAUAAGAUCUGCGGGACUUUUGCCCCGAAGACUUCGGGAGGUCCCUUGUGCGAAUCAUUGCGCUCUUAUACACCGUUUGUCGUGUUGCCUGUGGUGACACGCAGAUCGUGUUCUUUCGAGUUGUCGUUGACAGCAAGAUGCGAACAGAAGUGUCCGGAGCGUGGUCUUGUGCAAAGUGGAAUGCCUCACCGAUCGUAUGAGCAGCGAUUUCCGGUUUUUGCAUCAAGCGAAGGCUCGCCCGUUCGGGUCGGUGCUGGAGCUGAUGCGCCGGCUCUCGUUUAAGACGUGCUACCUGGUUGAU